AAUAAGCGGAGGAAAAGAAACCAACGGGGAUUGCCUCAGUAACGGCGAGUGAAGCGGCAACAGCUCAAAUUUGGAAUCUGGCCCGGGUCCGGGCCCGAGUUGUAAUUUGCAGAGGGUGCUUCGGGCACGGUACCGGCCUAAGUCCCUUGGAACAGGGCGUCGCAGAGGGUGAGAACCCCGUAUGUGGCCGGCCUCCACACCCACACGAAGCCCCUUCGACGAGUCGAGUUGUUUGGGAAUGCAGCUCAAAACGGGUGGUAAAUUCCAUCUAAAGCUAAAUACCGGCCAGAGACCGAUAGCGCACAAGUAGAGUGAUCGAAAGAUGAAAAGCACUUUGGAAAGAGAGUCAAACAGUACGUGAAAUUGUUGAAAGGGAAGCGCUUGCGACCAGACCUGCCCGGGGACGCUCAGCGGGGGGGUUUUCCCGCCGCGCACUCGUCCCCGACCAGGCCAGCAUCGGUUCGGGCGGCCGGAGAAAGGCCCCGGGAACGUGGCUCCCUUCCGGGGGGGCGUUACAGCCCGGGGCGCCAUACGGCCAGCCGUGGACCGAGGACCGCGCCCUGCUGCAAGGAUGCUGGCGUAAUGGUCGUCAGCGGCC
RNAcentral lists this ribosomal RNA (598 nucleotides) under Eschatogonia prolifera. RNAcentral's name for it is "LSU rRNA". It matches the Rfam family "Eukaryotic large subunit ribosomal RNA", at positions 45 to 649 of the family's 3401-position model. Lineage: Eukaryota; Fungi; Ascomycota; Lecanoromycetes. The record is from RNAcentral.